CUCACCUCUCUGGAUCCCCCUCCAGUCUGUUCCCCACGCAGCAGGCAAGGUGAUCCAUAUGAAAGAUGAGGAAACUGAGGCCCAGAGAGAUUAAGCAAUUUGCCAAAGAGCACAUAACCGUGCUGAAGUCCUGGCUUUUCCUGAAGGCCUCCAGGCUUAGGAAUCUGACUCUCACUGAGGGCUGGCGGGGCCCAAACUUCAGACAGUCUUCCUAACCAGGCAUCUGUGCCAGCAGCUCGAGCAGCAGAUGAGACCUUGGGGCCCUCGAGGAGGCGCAGUGAAGAGACGGGUGAUAAGCUGAUGCUUAUUACGUGCUUGAGAAUUCACCAAGGCCCUUUCUCCUGCCUCUUCUUAUCAUAAUCAUUUCCACUUCCCCACAAGCCCUACAGACCUCGAGCACAUCGGCCCUCCCAGCACAUGUGGGGAAGGGACCUCUCUCUCUUCUCUAUGGGGUGGAUGGGGGACAGGGCAUGGGUCCCUGGAAAAGAAUAACACUCCCAUCUCAGCUCUGCUUCUCAACUGCCCACAUGGCCCGUCCCUCCGUGGGCCCCAGUCCCCGACUGUAAGCAAAGAGGGUGGGCUGGAGGACCAUUAUGGCUCUUCUAGCUCUGAAAAUUCUAGACUCCUGCUUUGAAGACAUUUUGAAAAUCAAGAUCUUUGGUCAGGUCAGAGGAGUGGACCACACGUUUUACUAAACCAGGCUGGGCUGGGCGUGCUUGGUUGCUGGCUGCGUGAUGGAGACCCAGAGAGUCAAAGCCCAGUGUGCGUGGGGAAGUUGACCAUCGGGUGGCUUUGCCUUCAGAACAGAUAACCUGCAAAGUGGAUCUUUGGGCUGCAGAGACCCCAGCCUUGCCUGCCGAUCUGAGGCUGCCCCUGCUCUCAGCAGGGUCUCACAGGAAGCUGGGCUGGUUGUCCCCCUUUUGAUGAGCUGACUCGAGUCACUGACGGCCACUCUGUGCCAGGUGCUACGCUGGGCACUGAGGUUCAGGUGAAUCAGACCCAGGCCCUGGCGUCUCAGAGCUCCCAACCUUUCUCCCCUCCUUCAAGGCCCAGCUGGAACACCCCUCUUCCAGGAAUUCUCCCUGGCUUCCAGCUCUGACUUCUAAUGUCCCCCUGGUGUGGUACAAACCUAGCCCACGCCCAGGAGCUUUCCAGGGCACCAGGACCCACAAACCCUGGACUGUGAAGAGGUCAAGACAGGUCCCGGCAGCCCUACCCCGUGCUGGGGCUCAGGAGUUGUGGUCAGAAUUGUCGCUUGGCAACAAGGACUUAUGACACAGGCCACAUCUGUCCUGGCUGGAAGCAAAGGCACCAAUUUGACCCAGCACCCAUGUGUUGGGCUCAGACGCUCCUAAGUAAGCGAGGACAUUGUGUUGUCCAGAUGUUCCAAGUAAUCUGCAGAGGGGCAGGGUCACCUUGCGACAGUGGAGAACACAGGGGCUCUGCAUCCCAGGCCCGCCUCUUCCCAGCUGUGUGAGGCUGGCAGGUCACAUAAACUCUGUGGGCCUCAGUGUCAUCGUCUCUAAAAUGGGCUAAUAAUGCCUCCUAGCACAGUCACUGUGCAGCAGCUUAAACUAGUUAACGGGUUCAGAUGCUGCCAGUGUUCCAGAGAUGUGUUCCCCUCCUUCCCGGGCCCUCUGAGGCUGGCAUUCACCACCCCAACACACUGAGUCUGCUCCCAGAGGACACCUUCCCCCUCGGAGGGACACCAAAGCUCACUCUGGGCCUCCGCCCACCCCACACAAACAUAGGCUGGGCAAUGCUGGCUGGGGGCAAGACAGGGCCCUGAUGUGAUGAGACACGCCCUGCCGAGUCCUCAACUGGUCAUGUCCAGAAAAGCAGCCCCAAGGGCACCCCCUAGCAGUGGGAAAGAUCUGUUUCCACCAGUCUGUGAAGACGGCCCCUGUCCCAGGUACCUAGCCUGGCCUGGGCCCUGCUGCUCCCAUCUGUGCCAUGGUAGAGGCUCCCCAGAACAGGACAUGGGCAGCUCGGCUUGGGUUUGCCCUUCACUCUACAGGGUAGGUAGUGCCGUGGAAAUAUACAAGCUCUGGCGUCAGGCAGACUGGGGUUCAAAUCCAAGGUCCAUUCCUUACUGGCUGUGAGACUCUGGUCAAUUCACUUAUCCUCCCUGACCCUCAGUUGUCCCAUCUUGAAAAUGGUGCUAGGACCACCCACCUCCUGGCAUGGUUGUUAGACUAGUAUCUCUGAUGUUAGGUAUAAAGGACUAACAGGGCCUGGCAUGUAUGCCCUGGGGAAAAGCUCACUCCCUGAUAACAAAGAGGCCACCUCUGUACUCCGUGCACAGGGAGUGGCAGAGGCAAGAAGGCCAGGUGAAGAACAGACCCCAGACAAGCACCGAGGGCCCAGAAUUCGCCCGGAUUCCCUCUCCGGGCUUGUCAGAAAGUCCUUGGAGAGAUUUAAUUGGGAUGGGCUCUCCCCCUGGGAGAGGAGAGCCCAACAUCCACCCAGUGAAGCUGAAGGUCACAUCAAAUCUGAAAGGCGACUUUGUUCUCUGCAGCUUCAUCCGUUAUGCAUGAAAGAGCAGAUGGCGAGUGCUCAGGAUUCAUAAUUUGAGACAUCCGGAGACUAAAGGCAUUGGCCAAAUUUAAACCGAAAGACGGACUUGUUGGGUGUCUUCUCAGAUUAUGGGAGAAGAAGAAAGGAGAGAAUUUCUUAGUCAUCUACCAUCCACUCAGAAUUCACGGCCAGUCUGCCCGACGAGGGCUGAUAUCAGAGGUCUCCGCCCCUGGGUUCCGGAUAUUUUUAUGAUCACUGUUUGAAAGGGACAGAGAGAUAAAUGUCCGAGGAGACCCCCACUGGAGCUUGAAGAGAGCAGCCUUUCUGUGCGGCUCUACAGGAGGCCACAGGCAGCAUGACUGCAGACGUGGCUCCCGGGGGAUCAGGACGUGGCAGAGUCAAGGGCCACAGAGAUCCGAGUCUGGGCUGUGGUCUGUCAGGCACUGGCAGCAGUGCCUGCAGCCUCGGUUCCUGCAGCAGGAAAGGGAGCCAGUACCACGGGGCUCAACAGGAGCGCCACGAUGAGCUAGAGUUGAGAGCCUGGCACGGCCUUGGGCACAGACGAAGAGCUCAGUUAACGGUAGCCCGCGUUAUUAUCAAUUUUACUUUGACUUCCUUAAAUGUAUUUGGUCCAAAUUGCCGUUUGCUUUGAGAUAAGCUUUGAGCCAUCUAAGUACAUCACCAACAAUACGAUAACUGUCACCCGAAUCUCACAAAACCCAGGGAGGCAGAAAGGGUGGUGAUUGUUGUACCCUUUUCCCAGAUGGGGAAACUGAGGCUCAAGGAAAGAAGUGACUGAUCCAGUGUCACAGCCCCAGGUGGCAGAGCCAGAGCUAGACCUCGGGUCUCCCAAGUCACGAAAACACACUUUCCUCCACCCCCCCACCCUAGUCCCCAGUCACACCCAAGCCACACGUUCUGAGUCCACAUGGACAGGGAGGGUGUCUGGACUGCUGUCCCCAGCACUAAAUCCCAGGCCUGGUUUGUGUUUAGCACAAAGUCUGUCAAAUGAAUAAAUGUCAUGGACUCAUUUGAGAAUGUGAUGGAAAUGAGAGACACCAUCCCCAAGAAAAAUGUUCGUGUGGCCACACGCAUAAUGUACAUUUCAAGGGGUCACAGACCCUGGUUAGGAGGCCUUGACCUAGGUUUUCAGAGGCCUCUCCAGUGCUGAGCUCACUAAGCUAUCCAGAGAUGACCUCAUCACACAAGCCAUCUGCCUGGUGGAAAGGGGGCCCUUUGGCUUCAUCUAGGG
This is a long non-coding RNA of Balaenoptera musculus (blue whale), 3769 nucleotides long. RefSeq lists it as uncharacterized. The transcript has 4 exons. The record is from RefSeq and is a predicted model, not a curated record. NCBI's taxonomy places the organism in Eukaryota, Metazoa, Chordata, Mammalia, Artiodactyla, Balaenopteridae.